This 450-nucleotide ribosomal RNA is filed under the name uncultured bacterium. Its description in RNAcentral is "partial 16S ribosomal RNA". It matches the Rfam family "Bacterial small subunit ribosomal RNA", at positions 354 to 796 of the family's 1533-position model. The record is from RNAcentral.
GUGGGGAAUCUUCCGCAAUGGGCGAAAGCCUGACGGAGCAACGCCGCGUGAGUGAUGACGGCCUUCGGGUUGUAAAGCUCUGUUAUAUGGGACGAACGGGCAUGGGGCGAAUACCCUCAUGCAGUGACGGUACCGUAAGAGAAAGCCACGGCUAACUACGUGCCAGCAGCCGCGGUAAUACGUAGGUGGCAAGCGUUGUCCGGAAUUAUUGGGCGUAAAGGGCGUGUAGGCGGCCAGACAAGUCUGUCUUAAAAGUGCGGGGCUCAACCCCGUGAUGGGAUGGAAACUGUCGGGCUAGAGUGUCGGAGAGGAAAGCGGAAUUCCUAGUGUAGCGGUGAAAUGCGUAGAUAUUAGGAGGAACACCAGUGGCGAAAGCGGCUUUCUGGACGACAACUGACGCUGAGGCGCGAAAGCCAGGGGAGCAAACGGGAUUAGAUACCCGUGUAGUCC